Molecule: long non-coding RNA, 601 nt
Organism: Carassius carassius (crucian carp)
Lineage: Eukaryota; Metazoa; Chordata; Actinopteri; Cypriniformes; Cyprinidae
Exons: 2
Source: RefSeq, a predicted model, not a curated record
GCUACAAGAGAGAUCGGCUGACCCCUCGAAUGCUGUCUCAGUGUCAACGGACCGAAUAGUUUCACUUUCUGCAGCUGUCACUCACUUGUGUAUGAUAGCGAAUCUUCAUCACUGAUCUAAAACCAGUUUUAUCCACCUGCCUUUAGGAGGACCGAAAUGACAUUACAGCAAUCACGGAUGCAGUUUCGAGAGUUUCUAGAAAUUUCCAACACAAAAAAGUGCGGAGGUACUUGGCACACUGCUGAUGCCCGUUGUAUUCAGCCAGGUCUGCUGCUGAGAAUCCAUCCUGGUCUCGUAUUCCCAUGUCCACGCCGUUCACUACCAGAAUCUGACAGCACUGCAUGGAGAAACAGACAUAUACAUUAACAACUACAUAGACUACAUACUCUGGGGCUGUUUUAUUAAAUAGAUUUACCGCUGUCGGCUAAAGCAAGCAUUAGUAUUGAUAUUGCUCAUUUAUAAGGUUAAGGUUUUACACAGUAUUACACAGAAUUGUGCACAUAUGUGUGAUUAAACGACAUAUGUGCUUAAUAUUGCUCGUUCUGAAGGGUGUAAAUAUUUGUCUGUUUGAGAAAGUUGAGUUAAGUAUGAGUGGUAAUCA